This 460-nucleotide ribosomal RNA is filed under the name uncultured bacterium. RNAcentral describes it as "partial 16S ribosomal RNA". It matches the Rfam family "Bacterial small subunit ribosomal RNA", at positions 338 to 795 of the family's 1533-position model. The record is from RNAcentral.
CCUACGGGUGGCAGCAGUGAGGAAUAUUGGUCAAUGGCCGGAAGGCUGAACCAGCCAUGCCGCGUGAAGGUCAGUGCCCUAUGGGCGUUAAACUUCUUUUGUGCGGGAGCAAUAAUGGUCACGUGUGGCCAGACGAGAGUACCGUACGAAUAAGCAUCGGCUAACUCCGUUCCAGCAGCCGCGGUAAUACGGGGGAUGCAAGCGUUAUCCGGAUUUAUUGGGUUUAAAGGGUGCGUAGGCUGGGAGGUAAGUCAGCGGUGAAAUGCCCCCGCUCAACGGGGUGAAGUGCCAUUGAUACUGCCUGGCUGGAAUGCGGAUGCCGUGGGAGGAAUGUGUGGUGUAGCGGUGAAAUGCAUAGAUAUCACACAGAACACCGAUUGCGAAGGCAUCUCACGAAUCCGCGAUUGACGCUGAUGCACGAAAGCGUGGGUAUCAAACAGGAUUAGAUACCCGUGUAGUC